Molecule: long non-coding RNA, 2589 nt
Filed under: Populus trichocarpa (black cottonwood)
Lineage: Eukaryota; Viridiplantae; Streptophyta; Magnoliopsida; Malpighiales; Salicaceae
Description: long non-coding RNA (PTRI_LNC002132)
Source: RNAcentral
UAUUUUAGAAUUGAAAUCGUCACUGAUUUAUCUUUAUGCAUGUGCUGGUAAUCACUUAGUAGUCGGCACUAGAUUUUUUGAGAUAUUUAAAUGAUGGCAUCAUGAGUGAAUUCAAGUUAAUUUGAUUAAUUUAUAAUUUGGGAUAAUCUUUAAAAAAUAUUAGAAAGUUUAAGGUUAAUAUUCUAAAGUCAUAUGAUGAAAUAAAAUAAAAAUUAAAAAAAAACUGAAGUUAUAUCGAGCUAAUCUUUGAAACCAGCAACUAUGAUCAUGAAACCAAGAUAACCGUACAAAAAAUCAAAAAAAAUCUCGAACAAAAUUCUUAACCAUUAAAAAACUAAAAAGAAAAUAAAUAAUAAUUAAAAUAAUGAUGAUCAAAUCUGAUAUAAAAAUUGAUGAAAGAAAAUAAUCAAAGACUUAAUCGAAAAAUAAAAUAAAAAAAAAAAGAAAAAAGAUUUAAAAAAAGAGCAAUUAAAAAAAUGAUAACCAAAAUUGGAUGAAAUAAAAUGUUGAGGGAUAAAAUUGAUAAAAAAAAUAAUUAAGAAAAUGAUAAAAAAUAAGCAAUUAAAAAAGUGAGAACUAAAUCUGAAAAAAAAAAUAUUAAAGGAAAAAAUUAAAAGGAAAAAAAACAAGAAAAUAAUUAAAACAAUCAAGAGAAUGAGUAUUAUAUUAAUAUAAAAACAAAAUGAAAUGAAAAAUGAUGAAUCUGAAAAACAAAUUUAAAAAAAAUCAAAAGAAAAAAAGACUAGUUAAAAGAAAGAUGAUCAUAAUUGAAUUUUUUCUUUAUUAUUUUUUUUUAUCAAAAUAAUAUCAUUUUUACUUUUUAGUUGAAUAAAAAAUCAAGCGAUUAACCAGGAGAAAAUAAUGUCAACACCUAUCGAUUUUUUUUGCCAUUAUUUUUUUAAUCAAAAUAAUAUCAUUUUUACUUCACGGACAAUAAAAAAAUCCGAUUGACCUUGGUAACUCCAGUUAUUCGAACCCGGGACAUGAUGAGGGUCAACUCUUUGACCGGGUUUUAAAAGCAAGAUGAAAAGGCAACAAAUACACUAUGAAAAUUUAAUGAAAUAAAACAAUGAGAUAUUAGAUUGCUACAAAACAAUUAAUUAAAAAAAACUAAAAAUAAAAGGAAUUGCAAUCAUGAGAAUCAAAUUCAACAAAAAAAAUAAAAAUGAGUAGGGAUUAAAUGGAAAAAUAGAAUCUAGUUAGAAAAAAAAAUUAAAAGUAAAAUAAAUAGAAAUCAAAAUAAUAAGAAUUAAAUUUGAUAAGAAAACAUAAAAAGUUAGAUGAAUUGAAAAACAAAUAAAUUCAAUUCAAUAUAAUGAAAAAAUUAAAGAUCACUUUAUAAUUUUACAAUACCAAUACAUCUUUUGAGAUGAAGAUAAGAAAAAAAUUAUCGCCAAAGUUCUUUCAUGUUAUAGAUGUUGACAUGCGCUGCCCCACUGUGUAAAAAGUGGAGCGUUGCUUCGGAUAGGCUACCAACAAUCACUUCUUUUGUUUUUAAUUAUAGAAAGAUUAUAAUAGCCUUUACCCCAUAAGAAGAUAAUUGCAAGAAAAUUAAGGUUAAAAAACCAAAAGAAUCCCUUUGCCUUGGGGAAAAAAAAGAAGCUGAUCCCAGAAGCUAUGAGAUAAUUACACUGUGAAAAUCCGAAAACAAUCAUCUAGACAUUGGCUGUGUUUUUUUGUUUUUAAGGACAUGAGAGAAAUCAUACUGUGUAAUAAAUAUGUGGAAAUAAGAUUUUACCAUGUAUGUUUACCUUUUCUUAUCAUCGAAAGACCUAAAGCACUUGAAUGUCUUAGUUUUAUUUGUAAUACGAAAUUAGGAUGUUUUAAAAUUGACCAGAGCGUCCAAUUUGGAAUAUCAAAGCAAGUAAGCAACUUCAGAGGAUAGCAAAUUUAAGUUGCUUUCGUUUGAGCUCUGUUCUGUAAGCGGAAUCGCAGGGCUGGGACCAUUUCCAUCAACGAGGUUCCUCCAUCGGUGAUGACUGGUUAUAGCUGGACCGUAACGAUCAAGAUGGGAGCUCCCGCACCUUCCUCGUGAUCUAGCCCAGCAAAAGUUCGAUCCUGCUGCCCAGAAGAAUACCAUCAACGCAUGGAGGAGGGCAGAGGAGGCAUCUGCCUUUGUGGUGGUGGUCCAAUUAUUCUCUUUUUGGCCUACUGGUAGGAACUUCAAAACCACGAUCAAGCACUUUAGAAACUGAUCGCUGCCUAAAGUGAUCUAAAAGCAAGUAUAUAAUUUCAAAGGGAAGACGACCAAGCGUUAUUCCCUCUGGUUCCACCUAACCUUCGAUUGUUUUCUUGACCCCAUGAAUAACCAAAGAGGCACUCUGUUUCUUGUCCUUUUAAUUAAUUAAAUACAACGUGUUAUGCGUUGUUGUUGAUAACUCACUCGUAUGAUUAGCAGUGUUUUGCCUGUUUAGAGGAUGCUAGCCUGCCUUUGACCUUCCUGGCAGCCUAGCAUUGGCGUAGAUUCUUUUUAAUAAUCUAAAAGGAUUGCUCAGGGAAAUAUCUUUUCUCCUUUACAUAUUGUAUUAUAAUUUUAUUAUUGUGAUUGUAAUAAUAUUCCAAGUUAGCCAGAUAACUGCUUUGAUAAUC